Molecule: transfer RNA, 64 nt
Filed under: Dipodomys ordii (Ord's kangaroo rat)
Lineage: Eukaryota; Metazoa; Chordata; Mammalia; Rodentia; Heteromyidae
Rfam family: tRNA
About the family: Transfer RNA (tRNA) molecules are approximately 80 nucleotides in length.
Source: Rfam by way of RNAcentral
GGUGGCUCAGUGGUAGAGUGCUUGCCUUGCAUGCAGGAGGCCUGGGUUCGAUUCCUCAGCACCA